RNAcentral lists this ribosomal RNA (914 nucleotides) under uncultured bacterium. Its description in RNAcentral is "bacterial SSU rRNA". It matches the Rfam family "Bacterial small subunit ribosomal RNA", at positions 53 to 960 of the family's 1533-position model. The record is from RNAcentral.
ACAUGCAAGUCGAGGGGCAGCAUGAACUUAGCUUGCUAAGUUUGAUGGCGACCGGCGCACGGGUGAGUAACACGUAUCCAACCUGCCGAUGACUCGGGGAUAGCCUUUCGAAAGAAAGAUUAAUACCCGAUGGCAUAGUUCUUCCGCAUGGUAGAACUAUUAAAGAAUUUCGGUCAUCGAUGGGGAUGCGUUCCAUUAGGUUGUUGGCGGGGUAACGGCCCACCAAGCCUUCGAUGGAUAGGGGUUCUGAGAGGAAGGUCCCCCACAUUGGAACUGAGACACGGUCCAAACUCCUACGGGAGGCAGCAGUGAGGAAUAUUGGUCAAUGGACGAGAGUCUGAACCAGCCAAGUAGCGUGAAGGAUGACUGCCCUAUGGGUUGUAAACUUCUUUUAUACGGGAAUAAAGUGAGGCACGUGUGCCUUUUUGUAUGUACCGUAUGAAUAAGGAUCGGCUAACUCCGUGCCAGCAGCCGCGGUAAUACGGAGGAUCCGAGCGUUAUCCGGAUUUAUUGGGUUUAAAGGGAGCGUAGGCGGACGCUUAAGUCAGUUGUGAAAGUUUGCGGCUCAACCGUAAAAUUGCAGUUGAUACUGGGUGUCUUGAGUACAGUAGAGGCAGGCGGAAUUCGUGGUGUAGCGGUGAAAUGCUUAGAUAUCACGAAGAACUCCGAUUGCGAAGGCAGCUUGCUGGACUGUAACUGACGCUGAUGCUCGAAAGUGUGGGUAUCAAACAGGAUUAGAUACCCUGGUAGUCCACACAGUAAACGAUGAAUACUCGCUGUUUGCGAUAUACAGUAAGCGGCCAAGCGAAAGCGUUAAGUAUUCCACCUGGGGAGUACGCCGGCAACGGUGAAACUCAGAGGAAUUGACGGGGGCCCGCACAAGCGGAGGAACAUGUGGUUUAAUUCGAUGAUAC